RNAcentral lists this ribosomal RNA (495 nucleotides) under uncultured bacterium. RNAcentral describes it as "partial 16S ribosomal RNA". It matches the Rfam family "Bacterial small subunit ribosomal RNA", at positions 28 to 507 of the family's 1533-position model. The record is from RNAcentral.
GACGAAUGCUGGCGGCGUGCCUAAUACAUGCAAGUAGAACGCUGAAGGAGGAGCUUGCUUCUCUGGAUGAGUUGCGAACGGGUGAGUAACGCGUAGGUAACCUGCCUGGUAGCGGGGGAUAACUAUUGGAAACGAUAGCUAAUACCGCAUAAUAGUAGAUGUUGCAUGACAUUUGCUUAAAAGGUGCAAUUGCAUCACUACCAGAUGGACCUGCGUUGUAUUAGCUAGUUGGUGAGGUAACGGCUCACCAAGGCAACGAUACAUAGCCGACCUGAGAGGGUCAUCGGCCACACUGGGACUGAGACACGGCCCAGACUCCUACGGGAGGCAGCAGUAGGGAAUCUUCGGCAAUGGACGGAAGUCUGACCGAGCAACGCCGCGUGAGUGAAGAAGGUUUUCGGAUCGUAAAGCUCUGUUGUAAGAGAAGAAAGAGUGUGAGAGUGGAAAGUUCACACUGUGACGGUAUCUUACCAGAAAGGGACGGCUAACUACGUG